This 890-nucleotide ribosomal RNA is filed under the name uncultured Anaerolineaceae bacterium. Its description in RNAcentral is "bacterial SSU rRNA". It matches the Rfam family "Bacterial small subunit ribosomal RNA", at positions 8 to 916 of the family's 1533-position model. The record is from RNAcentral. Lineage: Bacteria; Bacillati; Chloroflexota; Anaerolineae; Anaerolineales; Anaerolineaceae.
AGAGUUUGAUCAUGGCUCAGGAUGAACGCUGGCGGCGUGCCUAAUACAUGCAAGUCGAACGGAGAUUGUAGCAAUACAUUCUUAGUGGCGAACGGGUGAGUAACGCGUUGGUGACCUGCCCCAAAGUGAGGGAUAACAGCCCGAAAGGGUUGCUAAUACCUCAUGUGGUCUUUGAGAUUAGAUGCUCUUAGACUAAAGGAUUUAUUCGCUUUGGGAGGGGCCUGCGUCCCAUCAGCUUGUUGGUGAGGUAAUGGCUUACCAAGGCUAUGACGGGUAGGGGACCUGAGAGGGUGACCCCCCACAAUGGAACUGAAACACGGUCCAUACACCUACGGGUGGCAGCAGUAGGGAAUAUUGGUAAUGGGCGAAAGCCUGAACCAGCAACGCCGCGUGUGCGAAGAAGGCCUUCGGGUUGUAAAGCACUUUUUAAGGGGAUGAGGAAGGACAGUACCCUUAGAAUAAGCCUCGGCUAACUACGUGCCAGCAGCCGCGGUAACACGUAGGAGGCAAGCGUUAUUCGGAUUUACUGGGCGUAAAGCGCGUGCAGGCGGUUUGGUAAGUUGGAUGUGAAAGCUCCCGGCCUAACUGGGAGAGGUCGUUCAAUACUACCAGACUAGAGGAUGGGAGAGGGAGGUGGAAUUCCGGGUGUAGUGGUGAAAUGCGUAGAUAUCCGGAGGAACACCAGUGGCGAAAGCGGCCUCCUGGCCCAUUUCUGACGCUCAGACGCGAAAGCUAGGGUAGCAAACGGGAUUAGAGACCCCGGUAGUCCUAGCUGUAAACGAUGUGGACUUGGCGUUGGUGGUGUUAAAUCCAUCAGUGCCGGAGCAAACGCGUUAAGUCCACCGCCUGGGGACUACGGCCGCAAGGUUAAAACUCAAAUGAAUUGACGG